RNAcentral lists this ribosomal RNA (432 nucleotides) under uncultured bacterium. RNAcentral's name for it is "partial 16S ribosomal RNA". It matches the Rfam family "Bacterial small subunit ribosomal RNA", at positions 28 to 507 of the family's 1533-position model. The record is from RNAcentral.
GAUGAACGCUGGCGGUAUGCUUAACACAUGCAAGUCGAACGGUCACUUCGGUGAUAGUGGCGGACGUCUGAGUAACGCGUGAGAAUCUGUCUUCAGGUCGGGGACAACUGUUAGAAAUGACUGCUAAUACCGGAUGUGCUUUUGCGUGAAAGAUUUAUUGCCUGAAAAAUAGCUCGCGUCAGAUUAGCUAGUAGGUGGUGUAAGAGCCUACCUAGGCUCCGAUCUGUAGCUGGUCUGAGAGGAGGAUCAGCCACACUGGAACUGAGACACGGUCCAGACUCCUACGGGAGGGAGGAGUAGGGAAUUUUACGGAAUGGGCGAAAGCCUGACGGAGCAAUGCCGGGUGAGAGACGAAUGCUUUUGGAUCGUGAACCUCUUUUCUCAAGGGAGAUGAUGACGGUACUUGAGAAAGAAGCAUCGGCUAACUCUGUG